Molecule: microRNA precursor, 140 nt
Filed under: Hordeum vulgare
Lineage: Eukaryota; Viridiplantae; Streptophyta; Magnoliopsida; Poales; Poaceae
Also listed under: 1 other name
Description: microRNA MIR2118
Rfam family: MIR2118 microRNA precursor family
Source: RNAcentral
GUUAUGAAGAGCAAUAAAGAGAGUGCAUAAGAGCACUGAGAAUGGGAACAUGGAGGAAAACCCCGCUUGUUUGCUUGGGCGCUUUCUUGAUGCCUCUCAUUCCUAUCGUUCUUGUGCACUCCUUCCUCUUUCGUUUGGCU